RNAcentral lists this transfer RNA (71 nucleotides) under Choloepus hoffmanni (Hoffmann's two-fingered sloth). RNAcentral describes it as "miRNA (ENSCHOG00000015696.1)". Lineage: Eukaryota; Metazoa; Chordata; Mammalia; Pilosa; Megalonychidae. The record is from RNAcentral.
GGGGAUGUAGCUCAGUGGUAGAGUGCGCCCUUAACGUGCACGAAGUCCUGUGUUCAUUCCCAGCGGCUCCA